CCCUUAGAUGUUCUGGGCUGCACGCGCGCUACACUGAAGCGUUCAACGAGUAUUCACCUUGCCCGGGAGGGUUGGGUAAUCUUUUCAAAACGCUUCGUGAUGGGGAUAGAUUAUUGCAAUUAUUAAUCUUCAACGAGGAAUUCCUAGUAAGCGCGAGUCAUCAGCUCGCGUUGAUUACGUCCCUGCCCUUUGUACACACCGCCCGUCGCUACUACCGAUUGAAUGGUUUAGUGAGGACUCCUGAUUGGCGCCGCCGCCCCGGCAACGGAGCAGUGGACUGCCGAAAAGUUGUUCAAACUUGAUCAUUUAGAGGAAGUAAAAGUCGUAACA
RNAcentral lists this ribosomal RNA (330 nucleotides) under uncultured eukaryote. RNAcentral describes it as "partial 18S ribosomal RNA". It matches the Rfam family "Eukaryotic small subunit ribosomal RNA", at positions 1470 to 1796 of the family's 1831-position model. The record is from RNAcentral.